Molecule: long non-coding RNA, 309 nt
Organism: Oncorhynchus tshawytscha (Chinook salmon)
Lineage: Eukaryota; Metazoa; Chordata; Actinopteri; Salmoniformes; Salmonidae
Source: Ensembl
GCACGUCUCUCUCCCUCCUUGCUAGAGGCACGUCUCUCUCCUCCCUGCUAGAGGCACGUCUCUCUCUCUCCCUGCUAGAGGCACCUCUCUCCCUCCUUGCUAGAGGCACGUCUCUCUCCCUCCUUGCUAGAGGCACGUCUCUCUCCCUCCCUGCUAGAGGCACCUCUCUCCAUCCCUCCCUGCUAGAGGCACGUCUCUCUCCCUCCUUGCUAGAGGCACGUCUCUCUCCCUCCCUGCUAGAGGCACGUCUCUCUCUCUCCCUGCUAGAGGCACCUCUCUCCCUCCCUCCCUGCUAGAGGCACGUCUCUC